AUUGAACGCUGGUGGCAUGCUUAACACAUGCAAGUCGAACGGUAACAGGCUAAGACAAUCCCUUCGGGGUGCGUUGUGCGCUGACGAGUGGCGGACGGGUGAGUAAUGCGUAGGAAUCUGCCCAAUAGCGGGGGACAACUCGGAGAAAUCCGAGCUAAUACCGCAUAAGCCUUACGAGGGAAAGAUGGCCUCUUCUUGAAAGCUAUCACUAUUGGAUGAGCCUACGUCGGAUUAGCUUGUUGGUGGGGUAAUGGCCUACCAAGGCGACGAUCCGUAGCUGGUCUGAGAGGAUGAUCAGCCACUCUGGGACUGAGACACGGCCCAG
Molecule: ribosomal RNA, 325 nt
Filed under: uncultured bacterium
Lineage: Bacteria
Description: bacterial SSU rRNA
Rfam family: Bacterial small subunit ribosomal RNA
Source: RNAcentral